Molecule: transfer RNA, 74 nt
Filed under: Chryseobacterium muglaense
Lineage: Bacteria; Pseudomonadati; Bacteroidota; Flavobacteriia; Flavobacteriales; Weeksellaceae
Description: tRNA-Leu
Rfam family: tRNA
About the family: Transfer RNA (tRNA) molecules are approximately 80 nucleotides in length. Their secondary structure includes four short double-helical elements and three loops (D, anti-codon, and T loops).
Source: RNAcentral
GCGGGAAUGGCGGAACUGGCAGACGCACUUGAUUUAGGCUCAAGAUAUUGAGGGUUCGACUCCCUUUUCCUGUA